This 257-nucleotide ribosomal RNA is filed under the name Bacillus licheniformis. Its description in RNAcentral is "partial 23S ribosomal RNA". It matches the Rfam family "Bacterial large subunit ribosomal RNA", at positions 148 to 397 of the family's 2925-position model. The record is from RNAcentral. Lineage: Bacteria; Bacillati; Bacillota; Bacilli; Caryophanales; Bacillaceae.
GUAUCCAUAUCUGAAUUCAUAGGAUAUGAGAAGGCAGACCCGGGGAACUGAAACAUCUAAGUACCCGGAGGAAGAGAAAGCAAAUGCGAUUCCCUGAGUAGCGGCGAGCGAAACGGGAUUAGCCCAAACCAAGAGGCUUGCCUCUUGGGGUUGUAGGACACUCUGUACGGAGUUACAAAGGAACGAGGUAGAUGAAGAGGUCUGGAAAGGCCCGCCAUAGGAGGUAACAGCCCUGUAGUCAAAACUUCGUUCUCUCC